This 108-nucleotide ribosomal RNA is filed under the name Triticum aestivum (bread wheat). RNAcentral describes it as "partial small subunit ribosomal RNA". The record is from RNAcentral. Lineage: Eukaryota; Viridiplantae; Streptophyta; Magnoliopsida; Poales; Poaceae.
AUGAUGAAAUAUGCAAAAAAUAUGAGGGAGGAAGGGAAAAGGUCAACCCCAGAUCUAGGGUUCGUCCGGCGCGUGAACCGAGGCGGCGGCGGAUCUUGCCAGAGUUGA